RNAcentral lists this ribosomal RNA (356 nucleotides) under bacterium enrichment culture DGGE band 50_1_FG_Ac. RNAcentral's name for it is "bacterial SSU rRNA". It matches the Rfam family "Bacterial small subunit ribosomal RNA", at positions 516 to 871 of the family's 1533-position model. The record is from RNAcentral.
CGCGGUAAUACGUAGGGGGCGAGCGUUGUCCGGAAUUACUGGGCGUAAAGGGCGUGUAGGCGGGGCAGCAAGUUGCGGGUAAAAAACCAGGGCUCAACCCUGGGGGUGCCUGCGAAACUGCUGUUCUUGAGGGCGGGAGAGGAGAGUGGAAUUCCCGGAGUAGCGGUGAAAUGCGUAGAUACCGGGAGGAACACCAGUGGCGAAGGCGGCUCUCUGGACCGACCCUGACGCUGAGGCGCGAAAGCCAGGGGAGCGAACGGGAUUAGAUACCCCGGUAGUCCUGGCCGUAAACGAUGGUCACUAGGUGUGGGUGGUGAUAAGCCAUCCGUGCCGGAGCCAACGCAAUAACUGACUCG